Molecule: ribosomal RNA, 497 nt
Filed under: uncultured bacterium
Lineage: Bacteria
Description: partial 16S ribosomal RNA
Rfam family: Bacterial small subunit ribosomal RNA
Source: RNAcentral
GAUGAACGCUGGCGGCGUGCCUAAUACAUGCAAGUCGAGCGAACGGACGAGAAGCUUGCUUCUCUGAUGUUAGCGGCGGAAGGGUGAGUAACACGUGGAUAACCUACCUAUAAGACUGGGAUAACUUCGGGAAACCGGAGCUAAUACCGGAUAAUAUUUUGAACCGCAUGGUUCAACAGUGAAAGACGGUCUUGCUGUCACUUAUAGAUGGAUCCGCGCUGCAUUAGCUAGUUGGUAAGGUAACGGCCUACCAAGGCAACGAUGCAUAGCCGACCUGAGAGGGUGAGCGGCCACACUGGAACUGAGACAGGGUCCAGACUCAUACGGGAGGCAGCAGUAGGAAAUCGUCCGCAAUGGGCGAAAGCCUGACGGAGCAACGCCGCGUGAGUGAUGAAGGUCUUCGGAUCGUAAAACGCUGUUAGUAGGGAAGAACAUAUGUGUAAGUAACUGUGCACAUCUUGACGGUACCUAAUCAGAAAGCCACGGCUAACUACGUG